AUAGAUCAAAUUUCUUUGUAGUAAUUCUUCGUAGUACUCAGAACUAGUCGCUAAGAAGGUUCACCAAGUCCUCUGAGCUUGUUUGGUGACGAACAAUUCUAGUAGUAAUUCUUCGUAGUACACAGAACUAGUCGCUUAGAAGGUUCACCAAGUCCCCUGAGGUUGUUUGGUGACGCACAAAGCAUACACUUCAAAAUUGGAUCCAUUUUCUUUGUAGUAAUUUCUUCGUAGUACUCAGAACUAGUCGCUAGGAAGGUUCACCAAGUCCUCUGAACUUGUUUGGUGACGAACAAUUCUAGUAGUAAUUCUUCGUUGUACUUUGACAUAUCGCUAAGAAGGUUCACCAAGUCCUCUGAGGUUGUUUGGUGACGCACAAAGCAUGUACUUCAAAAAUAGAUCAAUUCCCCUUGUAGUAAUACUUCGUAGUACACAGAACUAGUCGCUAAGAAGGUUCACCAAGUCCUCUGAACUUGUUUGGUGACGAACAAUUCUAGUAGUAAUUCUUCGUAGUACUCUGAACAUAUCGCUAAGAACCAGAGGACUUGGUGAACCCUAAGGUUCACCAAGUCCUCUGAGGCUGUUUGGUGACGCACAAAGCAUAUACUUCAAAAAUAGAUCAAUUCUCCUUGUUGUAAUUUUUCGUAGUACUCAGAACUAGUAGUUAAGAAGGUUCACUAAUUCCUCUGAACUUGUUUGGUGACGAACAGUUCUAGUAGUAAUUCUUCGUAGUACUCUAGUCGCUAAAAAGGUUCACCAAGUCCUCUGAGCUUGUUUGGUGACGAACAAUUCUAGUAGUAAUUCUUCGUAGUACACAGAACUAGUCGCUUAGAAGGUUCACCAAGUCCCCUGAGGUUGUUGGGUGAAAAUUGGAUCAAUUUCCUUUGUAGUAUUUCUUCGUAGUACUCAGAACUAGUCGCUAGGAAGGUUCACCAAGUCCUCUGAGGUUGUUUGGUGACGCACAAAGCAAAUACUUCAAAAAUAGAUCAAUUCUCCUUGUUGUAAUUCUUCGUAGUACUCAGAACUAGUCACUAAGAAGGUUCACUAAAUCCUCUGAAGUUCUUAGGUGACGCACAAAGCAAAUACUUCAAAAUUUGAUCAAUUCUCUUUGUAGUUAUUCUUCGUAGUACUCAGAACUAGUAGCUAAGAAGGUUCACCAAGUCCUCUGAACUUGUUUGGUGACGAACAAACCUAGUAGUAAUUCUUCGUAGUACACAGAACUUAUCGCUAAGAAGGUUCACCAAGUCCUCUGAACUUGUUUGGUGACGAACAGUUCUAAGUAGUAGUUCUUCGUAGUACUCUAGUCGCUAGGAAGGUUCACCAAGUCCUCUGAGCUUGUUUGGUGACGAACAAUUCUAGUAGUAAUUCUUCGUAAUACACAGAAAUUAUCGUUAAAAAGGUUCACCAAGUCCUCUGAGGUUGUUUGGUGACGCACAAAGCAUACAAUUCAAAAUUGGAUCCAUUUUCUUUGUAGUAAUUCUUCGUAGUACUCAGAACUAGUCGCUAGGAAAGUUCACCAAGUCCUCUGAACUUGUUUGGUGACGAACAAUUCUAGUAGUAAUUCUUCGUAGUACUCUGAACAUAUCGCUAAGAAGGUUCACCAAGCCCUCUGAGGCUGUUUGGUGACGCACAAAGCAUAUAGGUACUUCAAAAAUAGAUCAAUUCUCCUUGUAGUAAUACUUCGUAGUACUCAGAACUAGUCGCUAAGAAGGUUCACUAAUUCAUCUGAACUUGUUUGGAUACGAACAGUUCUAGUUGUAAUUCUUCGUAGUACUCUAGUCGCUAAGAAGGUUCACCAAGUCCUCUGAGCUUGUUUGGUGACGAACAAUUCUCGUAGUAAUUCUUCGUAGUACACAGAACUAGUCGCUUAGAAGGUUCACCAAGUCCCCUGAGGUUGUUGGGUGAUGCACAAAGCAUAUACUUCAAAAUUGGAUCAAUUUUCUUUGUAGUAUUUCUUCGUAGCACUCAGAACUAGUCGCUAGGAAGGUUCACCAAGUCCUCUGAGGUUGUUUGGUGACGCACAAAGCAUGUACUUCAAAAAUAGAUCAAUUCUCCUUGUUGUAAUUCUUCGUAGUCACGGAACUAGUCGCUUAGAAGGUUCACCACCAAGAACCCCUGAGGUUCUUAGGUGACGCACAAAGCAAAUACUUCAAAAUUUGAUCAAUUCUCUGUGUAGUAAUUCAUCGUAGUACACAGAACUAGUCGCUUAGAAGGUUCACCAAGUCCUCUGAGGUUGUUUGGUGACGCACAAAGCAUAUACUUCAAAAUUUGAUCCAUUUUCUUUGUAGUAAUUCUUCGUAGUACUCAGAACUUAUUGCUAAGUAGGUUCACCAAGUCCUCUGAGGUUGUUUGGUGACGCACAAAGCAUAUACUUCAAAAAUAGAUCGAUUUUCUUUGUAGUAAUUCUUCGUAGUACUCAGAACUUAUCGCUAUGUAGGUUCACCAAGUCCUCUGAGCUUGUUUGGUGUUUUCUAGUAGUAAUUCUUUGUAGUACCCUAGUCGCUAAGAAGGUUCACCAAGUCCUCUGAGGUUGUUUGGUGGCACACUGCUAAUACAUGGCAGAAAAUGUUGGGCUGGUCGCAUCGCACAGAUACCGAAAUAACAAUUGAAGAGAACUUUCAGUUGAUAACGUGGAAGGCGCGAAGGUGAUGGUUUGUUCUUGAAGACCAUGGCAAAUAAUUCAGUAUAAGCGGUCCAGUAUAAGGGAUUUUCCAUUCGUCCUAAACUCAAUGAACCAGACUCAACAAAUAAGAAGCCAAGGAAACACCUUAUUAGGCCUGUUAAAUAGAGCACACGGCAUGCAGCGAUCGAGAUUGAUGGGACUUCGGUGAUAGCUUUUUUAAAUUCAUGACAUGAUAUUUUUUAGCUUUAUAUUUGCUUUUUUUAAUCCUUUAUUGUUCUAUUUUGAUGCUUAAUUACCUUAUAAAACUAAAGAUCCUCUCAAAGUUACAUAAGGAUUACCUUUGAACAUUACAGGAACAAAUUUCCCACCUGCCGUAGUUCAAAUUUAAGGGAGUGCCUUAUCUUGGUUCAAAAGCUGCGAUAUGGGAACAUUCUUGCGACGAUGGUUCAACUGCAACUGUUUCCAUGGUUCAUAAUAGCGCUCCUGCAUCAGCCACUCUUACUAUUUGGACCACCAUUCCUUCCUCUACUAAUCCGGUAGACUGAGAUACCUCAAAAUAGUUGCAUACUCGCACCACACUCGCGAUGCUCUUGUUUCUGGUUGAUCUACCUUCACAAGUCACGGGUAUCCCGGGGGCUACCUCCGAUUCGGGAGUUCACGGGUGUCGAACCCGCGAGUGGAGCCGGAGGACGGGCGAUUACGCGGAUGUCGCCGCGAUGCCAAUUUGGUAUCGAAUUCUUGCCGCGCGGAUCCAUCGGCGGCGGUUAGUUAAUCGGGAGCAGUGUCGGACCAUCACGAAGACUUUUCGUUCGAGCCGCGGGAGGUGGCGACGAUGCCUCAGUGAGACGCGGAUGCCACUUGUUUCAGAAACUGAAAUAUAAACAAAAUUAGUUUUUAAAAAGUUGGUUUUAAUUAAAAUACUAAAGAAAAUAA
Molecule: long non-coding RNA, 3553 nt
Organism: Aedes albopictus (Asian tiger mosquito)
Lineage: Eukaryota; Metazoa; Arthropoda; Insecta; Diptera; Culicidae
Exons: 2
Source: RefSeq, a predicted model, not a curated record